Molecule: ribosomal RNA, 464 nt
Filed under: Helicobacter pylori
Lineage: Bacteria; Pseudomonadati; Campylobacterota; Epsilonproteobacteria; Campylobacterales; Helicobacteraceae
Description: partial 23S ribosomal RNA
Rfam family: Bacterial large subunit ribosomal RNA
Source: RNAcentral
AGAUGAGAUGAGUAUUCUAAGGCGCGUGAAAGAACUCUGGUUAAGGAACUCUGCAAACUAGCACCGUAAGUUCGCGAUAAGGUGUGCCGCAGCAAUGUGGUCUCAGCAAAGAGUCCCUCCCGACUGUUUACCAAAAACACAGCACUUUGCCAACUCGUAAGAGGAAGUAUAAGGUGUGACGCCUGCCCGGUGCUCGAAGGUUAAGAGGAUGCGUCAGUCGCAAGAUGAAGCGUUGAAUUGAAGCCCGAGUAAACGGCGGCCGUAACUAUAACGGUCCUAAGGUAGCGAAAUUCCUUGUCGGUUAAAUACCGACCUGCAUGAAUGGCGUAACGAGAUGGGAGCUGUCUCAACCAGAGAUUCAGUGAAAUUGUAGUGGAGGUGAAAAUUCCUCCUACCCGCGGCAAGACGGAGAGACCCCGUGGACCUUUACUACAACUUAGCACUGCUAAUGGGAAUAUCAUGCG